UGCGUAGGCGGCGCGGUAAGUCGGGUGUGAAAUACUCGGAGGCUUAACUCCGAAACUGCAUUCGAUACUGCCGUGCUUGAGGACUGGAGAGGAGACUGGAAUUUACGGUGUAGCGGUGAAAUGCGUAGAUAUCGUAAGGAAGACCAGUGGCGAAGGCGGGUCUCUGGACAGUUCCUGACGCUGAGGCACGAAGGCCAGGGAGCAAACG
This 208-nucleotide ribosomal RNA is filed under the name uncultured bacterium. RNAcentral's name for it is "partial 16S ribosomal RNA". It matches the Rfam family "Bacterial small subunit ribosomal RNA", at positions 568 to 774 of the family's 1533-position model. The record is from RNAcentral.